AUGGCGGGGAAGGGGGAGGAGGUGUACGUGGCGUCGAUCGACCAGGGCACCACCAGCACCAGGUUCAUCAUCUACGACCGCCGGGCCAGCCCCGUCGCCUCCCACCAGCUCGAGUUCAAGCAGCACUACCCGGAGGCUGGAUGGGUCGAGCAUGAUCCUAUGGAGAUCAUCGAGAGCGUGAAGGUCUGCAUGGCAAAGACACUCGAAAAAGCUGCAGCCAAUGGACUUAAUGUGGAUGCUGGUUUGAAGGCCAUUGGAAUCACAAAUCAGAGGGAGACCACCGUUGUGUGGAGCAAAUCCACAGGCCUUCCGCUCUACAAUGCCAUUGUGUGGAUGGAUGUCCGCACAAGCUCUAUUUGCAGGAGACUGGAAAGUGAGCUAUCGGGUGGCAGAACCCACUUUGUGGAGACAUGUGGUUUACCAAUCAGUACCUACUUCAGCGCUCUGAAGUUAUUAUGGUUGAUGGAGAAUGUUGACGCUGUCAAGGACGCAGUCCGCGCUGGUGAUGCAUUAUUUGGCACAAUCGACACCUGGUUGAUCUGGAACCUCACUGGAGGCAUUGGUGGGAAAGACCGUGAUGGAAAGGAGUUAGUUGGGCAGCAUGUCACAGACUGCUCGAACGCAGCACGCACGAUGCUUAUGAAUCUGAAGGCACUUGACUGGGACAAGCCUACACUUGAGGCAUUAGGCAUUCCUGCCGGCAUCUUGCCAAAGAUUAUCAGUAACUCGGAGAAAAUUGGUGUGGUUGCCAGUGGAUUCCCUUUGGCUGGUGUUUCCAUCUCAGGCUGUCUAGGAGAUCAGCAUGCUGCAAUGCUUGGGCAGCUAUGCCAGAAAGGUGAAGCAAAAAGCACCUACGGAACUGGUGCCUUCAUCCUUCUCAACACAGGGGAGGAGGUUACCCAGUCCACCCACGGUCUUCUUAGCACCAUUGCCUACAAGCUUGGCCCAGAUGCACCCACUAAUUAUGCUCUGGAAGGCUCAAUUGCGAUUGCUGGUGCAGCAGUUCAGUGGUUGAGGGACAGCCUUGGAAUCAUUUCCUCAGCAGCAGAAAUUGAAGGGUUGGCUGAAAGUGUGCAGGAUUCAGGUGGCAUAUACUUUGUGCCAGCAUUCAAUGGAUUGUUCGCGCCAUGGUGGAGGGAUGACGCGAGGGGGAUCUGCAUAGGAAUCACAAGGUUCACAAACAAGGGGCACAUUGCCCGAGCAGUGCUCGAGAGUAUGUGCUUUCAGGUGAAUGAUGUCCUCAGCUCUAUGCAUAAGGAUGCCGGAGAGGCAGGAGAAGUGAAGAGUGCAGAAGGGGAGUUCUUGCUGCGUGUCGAUGGUGGUGCUACCAUUAACAACCUUCUCAUGCAGAUUCAGGCUGAUUUGUUGGGCAGCCCUGUCGUCAGACCAGCCGACAUCGAGACAACAGCCCUCGGGGCCGCAUACGCAGCAGGGUUAGCUGCCGGAGUCUGGACGAAGGAGGAAAUAUUCGCAGGCCUGCACAAGGAGAACACGACGGUGUUCCGCCCCAAGUUAGAUGACGCACACAGGAAGAAGAGAGGAGACUCCUGGUACAAGGCGGUGUCAAGGUCAUUUGAUCUGGCCGACCUCUCUCUGUAG
RNAcentral lists this ribosomal RNA (1599 nucleotides) under Triticum aestivum (bread wheat). RNAcentral describes it as "partial small subunit ribosomal RNA". Lineage: Eukaryota; Viridiplantae; Streptophyta; Magnoliopsida; Poales; Poaceae. The record is from RNAcentral.